GUGCUUGCUUCAGCAGCACAUAUACUAAAAUUGGAACAGUCCAUGGAAAAUUAGCAUGACCCCUGCACAAGGAUGAUAUGCAAAUUCAUGAAGCGUUCCAUAUUAAA
RNAcentral lists this small nuclear RNA (107 nucleotides) under Myotis davidii. Lineage: Eukaryota; Metazoa; Chordata; Mammalia; Chiroptera; Vespertilionidae. The record is from RNAcentral.